GAAAUCAUGUGCCUUUGAAAUCUGUGUUUUUCUAAACUUUUUAGGGGGAAAAAAGGGGGGGUUGCUGUCCUCUGUUGCUGUUUACAUGCAAAUGUUACAGUAAUAGAAAUAUUCCCUUUUAGCAUUCAAGGUUAGUUUACUGGUUGGCAUAUUGCUCUAUGGAGACAUAUUAUUCUGACUUUCGUUCAACCAAUCUCUUCUCUUAUUGCUGUGUGUAUGCUUGAGGAGGAGUAAAUAUCAUUUGUAAAUCUUGAUACAUCAUGGAUGGAACUGACAGUACGCUCACUAUCAUGAGACAACUGAGUAAGUUUAAAGUUAAUAUGUAUUUUUUGGCUAUAAUCCAAUGAUAGAUAGAUAGAACCUAUACAUGUUAUAAUGUUAUAGCAAAAGAUAUCUGUAGAACAAGAUCUUCACAAGAUAUUUCACCAAAAUAAUCAUGAGACUUAUUAUAAGAGCAAUUGCGCUUGAAUAAUUGUUUUACCAAAUUUUAUAUAUUUAAAAAUUUUAGAGUUAAUAAAAAAAGAG
RNAcentral lists this long non-coding RNA (525 nucleotides) under Mytilus galloprovincialis (Mediterranean mussel). Lineage: Eukaryota; Metazoa; Mollusca; Bivalvia; Mytilida; Mytilidae. The record is from RNAcentral.